Molecule: long non-coding RNA, 1693 nt
Organism: Aquila chrysaetos chrysaetos
Lineage: Eukaryota; Metazoa; Chordata; Aves; Accipitriformes; Accipitridae
Exons: 3
Source: RefSeq, a predicted model, not a curated record
GCGCCCGACUAUGUGGUGUCGCAACUGACUGUACUGACGUAUCGUAGGAGGUCUGCCACCUGGGGUGGGGACAAGCAGGGACUGGGCAGGUUGUUACUGCAUCUCAACCAAGUCGUUUGUGAGUUCAGCGACAACACGGAUCCUGGUACGGGGCUUUGUGGGACUUUGUGGACUUACCUUCUUUCCUGAUGUGCAUAACAAGAAGAGAGGAGAACUUACAAUGUUCUUGAAGAAGUGGACUACGGGGUUGUCGUCACCAGGCCGGCCAUGCUGGGAUCUCUGGGGGAUGGACCCUACGUGGUGGCUAGCCCUGGCUGCAUGUAUGUCCUGAAAAGCAGAAAAGGCAUAUCGCCAAGUCAGCCGGGAAGGAAAGAUAAUCGGCGAAUGUACGAAGAGAAGAGUCAUUCUCACCAGGAAUGAAAAGAAGAGAAAAAUGCCUUGGAAAUCUACAGAGAUUGCAACCUAAAGUUGUCAGUGCUGUGAAGGAACAAUUUUUUUAAUACAAUGGCAAAUACAGAGUACGUAUGUGGACGUAUGUUGUGCAUAUAUAUAUGGCUGGACAUGUUUUUAAUGUUACAGCCCAGUGUGGAAUUAAACCUGUUAUUGGAAAGUUCUGCUAACAGAAACCUGCUAAUUUUCCUUCUUUCAUAAGUAGGAUUGUAGAAUGUAGUUUUAGAAAUGAAACCUGAAACGGAGAAAAACUUAAAAUGAUGAAAUGAUGUUGGGUCAUUCUCCAUCCAUGAGCGGGAAUGGAUCGUGUAUCGUGUCUCAGUUCCCAAAGACUACAUAACACUGAUGAACAGCAAGAGCAAUGUUUUUUUGGGAAUGAGGGGAUCAAAUGAGACUGACAAUACUUUCUAUUUUCAGUAGGGCUUCCUGAGCAAUACAUAAAGAAGUCCAGUAAGCGAAGGUAAAAUUAAUAACAGAAAUAAUACAUUGUCAAGUGUGAAUACCUUGACUGGUGCUUAGAUCGUGCUGCAUCUGUUGCAGUGAAAAUAGUGUCAAAAAUUUGGUGUAGUUCCUGCUAUCUGGAUGCAGUAUGACAAAGUUUAAAAAAGAACUCUUACAUAUGACUGACCCAGUUACAGACAUCUGCCCAUCACUGCAAACGCAGAGGCACAAGGCUUCAUGUUCAGUGCAACAGAUCUGAAGUAUGUUCAGUGGGGAACAGAGAAGGUAGGAGAGAAUGAAAAUAACAACGGUGCUGCAAUCGUUCUGGUAGUGUAAUGGAUUCCCUGAGAAUACAAUGAUGUUAUAAGCAUCAUGCGGAUGCAAAAAAUUUUCAUUGGCCUCUAAAGAUGAAAUGGAAAUCCAUAGUGAGACAGUAGCUCACAUAAGCACUUCCCUAGUAGCACAAACUGAGUGACUGUGGAACACUGUGAAUAGUUAUGAAAACAAAGUAGAUUUUAAAUCACAUACAGAAAAACAUUGAUCAACUUGCCAGGGAAAAAGCUUAGGCUGAUUGUUGGAGCAGGAGUCCUGACUCAUGAGCGGUUUGGUGAUUUUUGACAUACAAGUUAAUAUCUAUAGAACAGGUUUUCAAAGGUUUGAAGAGUCUUUUUGCACUUUGAGUGAAGUCUUGUGACAGCAGUAGCUUUCAGAAUGACCCUGACCGCCUCAAGCUAUUGCUAUUGAAAAUGGCUGUGCAGAGAUUUACAUGUUGUAAGACUCUUGAAUAAAAGGUCCCAUGAAA